RNAcentral lists this ribosomal RNA (433 nucleotides) under uncultured bacterium. RNAcentral's name for it is "partial 16S ribosomal RNA". It matches the Rfam family "Bacterial small subunit ribosomal RNA", at positions 29 to 507 of the family's 1533-position model. The record is from RNAcentral.
AACGAACGCUGGCGGCAUGCCUAACACAUGCAAGUCGAACGAGACCUUCGGGUCUAGUGGCGCACGGGUGCGUAACGCGUGGGAACCUGCCCUUAGGUUCGGAAUAACUCCCCGAAAGGGGUGCUAAUACCGGAUAAUCUCUUCGGACCAAAGAUUUAUCGCCUUUGGAUGGGCCCGCGUUGGAUUAGCUAGUUGGUAGGGUAAAAGCCUACCAAGGCGACGAUCCAUAGCUGGUCUGAGAGGAUGAUCAGCCACACUGGGACUGAGACACGGCCCAGACUCCUACGGGAGGCAGCAGUGGGGAAUAUUGGACAAUGGGCGAAAGCCUGAUACAGCAAUGCCGCGUGAGUGAUGAAGGCCUUAGGGUUGUAAAGCUCUUUUACCCGGGAUGAUAAUGACAGUACCGGGAGAAGAAGCUCCGGCUAACUCCGUG